GGAGAGGUGGCUGAGUGGUCGAAAGCGCGGGUUUGCUAAAUCCGUGAGGAUUAACGUCCUCCGCAGGUUCGAAUCCUGUCCUCUCCG
RNAcentral lists this transfer RNA (87 nucleotides) under Pirellulaceae bacterium. Its description in RNAcentral is "tRNA-Ser". It matches the Rfam family "tRNA". Rfam says of the family: Transfer RNA (tRNA) molecules are approximately 80 nucleotides in length. Their secondary structure includes four short double-helical elements and three loops (D, anti-codon, and T loops). Further hydrogen bonds mediate the characteristic L-shaped molecular structure. tRNAs have two regions of fundamental functional importance: the anti-codon, which is responsible for specific mRNA codon recognition, and the 3' end, to which the tRNAs corresponding amino acid is attached (by aminoacyl-tRNA synthetases). tRNAs cope with the degeneracy of the genetic code in two manners: having more than one tRNA (with a specific anti-codon) for a particular amino acid; and 'wobble' base-pairing, i.e. permitting non-standard base-pairing at the 3rd anti-codon position. Lineage: Bacteria; Pseudomonadati; Planctomycetota; Planctomycetia; Pirellulales; Pirellulaceae. The record is from RNAcentral.